AGAAUUCCUUAUCUGGAUUUCUAGUUCGCAGACCAAAGAAAAUAAAGAGGCAUUUCCUUUUGAAUAGGAAUUCAAUGAGGUGACUUGGAACACCCAAACUCAAUUCCAAGUGGCGACUCUGUAAGUAAAAUAAUCCCUUUUCAAAACGUCACUUUAAUUGGGAAAACCCAUUUUCUCUAAAACCAACUCCCUAGCGGGGUCAGAUGCGGUGAAAAAC
This 217-nucleotide long non-coding RNA is filed under the name Capsicum annuum. RNAcentral describes it as "long non-coding RNA (CANN_LNC020482)". Lineage: Eukaryota; Viridiplantae; Streptophyta; Magnoliopsida; Solanales; Solanaceae. The record is from RNAcentral.